UACAGAGGGGGCAAGCGUUAUUCGGAAUUAUUGGGCGUAAAGGGCGCGUAGGCGGCCUGGCAAGUGGAUGGUGAAAUCCCUCGGCUUAACCGAGGAACUGCCGUCCAAACUGCUUUGCUUGAGACCGGGAGAGGUGAGUGGAAUUCCCAGUGUAGCGGUGAAAUGCGUAGAUAUUGGGAGGAACACCAGUGGCGAAGGCGGCUCACUGGACCGGUACUGACGCUGAGACGCGAAAGCGUGGGGAGCAAACAGG
This 253-nucleotide ribosomal RNA is filed under the name uncultured bacterium. Its description in RNAcentral is "partial 16S ribosomal RNA". It matches the Rfam family "Bacterial small subunit ribosomal RNA", at positions 524 to 776 of the family's 1533-position model. The record is from RNAcentral.